GGGGGGCGGCGGCCCCGCCCCGGCGGGCGGGGGAGCAGGUGGCGGGACGGUGCGCGGACUGGGGGAGGGGCCGGAAGGGGCCCGCGGGAGCCGGGGCCGCUGGGCGCGCCCCCAGCGCAUGUCCUCCUCCUCCUGGCCUCCCAGCUCCUGCUGCUCCUUUGGCGACUCGGGCUCUACGAAUAUCUUAGAAGAACACCGUUUGACCAGAGGACCAGGCUCCCUUUCUGGCUUCGGCUCUCAGUCCCUCUGUAUCUCGCUCAAGCAAAUCAAUUACGUUCAUCCUCCAUCUCCCAGCCUCAGUUUCCUCGCCUGUGACACGGCAGAGAUGGACCAGGAAGACCUUCCUGGACACAUCAGCGCACACUACAUUUUUUGUGACUCUGGGGAUAGGGCCGGGAGGAUUCAGGGCUGGGCUCCAGCUGCUAAGACGGCAGCGGGAAGACAGCCUGACCCGAGAGCCAGCCUUCUUAUCUGCGCCAGAGACCUCACGGUGUCCUGCCACGACCCGUACCCCCAUGGCCUCCAUCCGGGACUGCUGCACAGCUCUGUUCUGAGUCCCCGCCCUGCGAAGGAGCUGGAGGUACAGAGGGAGAAGGAGGAGGAAGCAAGAGAAGGGAGAGCGUGAAGAGCACUCAAUUGGGAUGGUCCCUGGGAAAACCCUGCAGGAGCCCUGUCUUAGGCCAAAGGCCUGGCAACUAGAGGACGGAUUUGUGAAAGUCAGCUCCAUCCAGACCUACCUUGUGACCUUGACCUUGGACAAGUCACUUCAUCUCUCCAAGACUCAAGCUCCUCGCCUGUAUACAAAUGGGGAUCUGUGGAACCCAUCUCACAGGAUUAUGGAGAAAAUGAAAUGGGAUAACCUACAUAAGUACUGUAACUAUGGCCAGGGCUCAGUAAAACCCAGCACGAUAGCUGUUCUGGGCAGCAAUAUGGGUUCCUACAGUUGGUUGGCUGGUGGAAGGCACCUCUGAGGAUGUGUGGGUUUGUUAAAGGAUGUAGUUGGAAAGGUCGCUUAGGGUCAAUGAAUGUUUGUUGAAUGAAGGAAUUCAUUCAACUUUCAACAAACAUUCCGUGAGGUCCCCCCUGCGCCAAGCCCGGGGACACCACUGUGAGGAAGUGAGGGACCACCCCCAGUCCUCAGGCCCAGAGUAGGGCUGGGUUGGGGUGGGAUGGGGUGGGGUGGGGUGGAAGGGGUGGGGUGGGGUGGAAGGGGUUGGGUGGUGGUCACAACCAUCAAAGGUGAUGACAGCACCAACUGCUGUGUACUGUGACCGGGAAGACAAGGGGCUCUAGGAGCCCCCAGGAGGACUCACCCCGGCUGGGACCCAGGAAUGGGUGGUCAAGGAUGGCUUCCAGAGAAAAGUGUCUGGGGGGAGCUGAGAGUGCUCUGAAUGCACGCCUUAUCUCCCUGUUUGCACUUACUUCCAACAGCACUUGCCCUUGUGUGCCAGCUGGUCCAGGUGCUGUCUGAGGACGUGGCCACGCUGGCAAGCCUAAACUCACCACCUUCAGAUGGGGGCGAGGGGGCGCUGCCUUCACCUUGGCCUCUAGCACUCUGUGUCUCCGCCCCCCGUCAUCUGUUCCCCACAUCAUCGCUCUAACCACCAGUUUGGUUUCCGCAUCUGUGCUCCUGGCUGCGUUGUCUCACAGACAUACCCAGCGAGUCACGAAUGAAACCACACCUGUACUUUUCUACAUUCUUUAGUAGCCAGGUUGUAAGAAGUAGAAAGAAACAGAUGGAAUUACUUUUACUAAUAUAUUUUAUUAAACCCAAGAUACCAAAGUUAUGAUAAACGUGGAAUCAACAGAAACAAAUUAUUAACAAGCUAAUUUACAUUAUUAUGUUUGUACUAAGUUUUUGCAUUCUGGUGUGUAUUUUGCACUUACUGCACACCUCAGUCUGAAUUAGGUGCAUUUCAUGGGCUCGAUCAGCCUGUGUGAUGAGUGGUUCCCAUAGGGGAUAGUACAGCUCUAGAAUGUGGGUUCCUCUAGGGCAGAGACCCUGGACUUUUCACCUCUUUCUUCAGUGCUGAGAGGGGUGUCCUAGGUGGAGGGACUGCACGGACAAAGAUACAGGCAUGAAAGAACAAAGCAUGUUCAGGGACCAGCACGCCAUUCUGUGGGGCUGCAAGGUGAAGUAAGUCUACCAGGAAGGUGGGCGAUGGGAUUGCUUUGUGUCUGUACCGGAUUGAGGAAAGCCUUGAAUACUGUGGUAAGAAAUUUUGGAGUGUGGUCCUGUGGGCCACUUGCGUCAUCAUUUAUUUAUAAGCAGAGGAGUGUGAUAUUCAGGUUAAGGGUUUAGAAAGAGCCCUCUGGUAGGCAGCAUGGAGGGUCAUGUGGAUGCGACUAAUCAGGAGACAGGGAGACCAGCUAGAAGCAGAUGUACUGCACAGGCAAGCGAUGAGGGAGGGGACGAGGAGGCGGGCCCAACUAGAGAGGCAGUGAUGGAAUGUCAGGACUUGGGGACCCACUGGAGAGGGAGUGAGAAAGCAGGAAGAAGGCCUAAAUUUUUUGCCUGUGGUGUCCGUGUCUGAGCCAGGAUGCGUGGGAGGUUUGUCGAGGACAUCAAGGGUUCCAUCCUGGUACCUGCUGGGUUUGAACUAUUAGCAGGACACCUUGGUGGACAGGAGCAGUUAAGUGGUAAGGGUACCUGUGCCAGGGUAUAUAAAUGAUAGUGAGGUCAUGUGGUCAUGUGAGGCAUUCAAGCAGGGGCUGGACAGACACGAGCCUGGGAUGUUGUAGAGGGCUUACGUGCAUCCCAGGUGAGCUGGGCCUGCUGGCCUGUCAGCCUAGAUGGUGUCUGAGCCUAGGCUUUUGCUGCAUUUGUGUGUAGGAGGCACUGUCGGAGCUUGGGCAUAUCUACAGCUGGGGACCUUUGUGGUCUAAAGGUGGUUUGUGUUUUGGGACCUUGGCCCCACAACUGGAACUGGGGGGCAGGCAACAGGCAUGUUGGCUGCUGGAGGGGGGACAGAGGUUCCAUCCCAACAGACCAUGAGGGAAGAUAGCCUGAGGUCCAGCUGGACCCAUUUCUUAGAACCAGAGAGUGAGAAGGAUCCUUGAUCUUCAACCAUCCUCCUCUCCCCUCCUCAUUUUGAUUUUUGGGAAAACUGAGGACUUUGCCCAAGGUCACAGAGCAGGUCAUGACACAUCAGGUAUGGGUCGGGGUGAGGGUGGCAAGGAGGGUUCGUGUUGGAUCCUGGUACCCUCUCCCUGCAUCCCGAGUACCCAUAGCAUCUUCAUCUCCUUGCCUUUCCUUGGCACAAGAGAUGUCCUUUAACACAUGUGGUAAGGGAUCCUGGUCCCUUUUAAUUAGGAGGAUACAAAGAGAGAAGUCAGACAGCCGCCCCCACCCAUGGUUGGGAGAGUAAGUGCUCCCCAAAUUACACAGCAGAUGCCAGGACUCCGGCAACAAGACCCAGCUUGAUAGCUUUGUGGUAACCUCAGCCAGCACAAUUUUAUUUUUAUGUUUUAACUCCUUGGUGAUAUAUAGACCUCCCUCUCACAGGCAGAAGAAAUGGCAUCCAGAACUUCUCCCUUGAAAAAAAAAUAUUUUUCAACUUGCGUAACACAUACCCAGUUUAAUUAACCCUUUUGUCAGAAGGCUUGGUCUGCUUUGGGCUGGGUGAGGAAAUUGUUUCUUUCCUGCGAGGUGGGUGUUGUGCAAAUAACUUGAGAAGGAGGCAAAAGAUGUGGGGUGGUGUGCUAGCAACUGGUCCUGCUGUGGAAACUGACCACCCCUCCGCCUGCUAUUAGCCCCUGAUCCUCUUGGGAUCUCUGGGUCCCAAAUGAUAAUUCCUUGGACAAUCUAAUGGACAAUUAAUGAUGUGUGCCUCCUUUGGGAUCUCUUUUUUGUCUGCUUUUAAAAUUUCAGUCUAAGGUGCCUGUUCUGGUGGUGGUGGUUUAGACGCUAAGUCGUGUCCGACCCUCGUGACCCCAUGGACUAUAGCCCUCCAGGUUUCUCUGUCCAUGGGAUUCUCCAGGCAAGAAUACCAGAGUGGGUUGCCAUUUUCUUCUCCAGGGGAUCUUCCCAACCCAGGAAUUGAACCCCGGUGUCCUGCACUGCAGGCAGAUUCUUUACCAACUGAGCUAGCUACGAGGGAAGCCUGUUCUAUAGGAGUCCUUACACUUUAUGUCUGCACUCUUUAAAUCUCUAUUUCCAUAGGCUUGCUAUUCAGAUCAGGAACCAAAACCUUUUGAAUCGAAGCUCACCUCUGACCCCUCCCACUGCCUCAUUUCCGCAUGCUAAAGGUAGGAGGCUACCUCUGUAUCCUUUUCUCUCUGGCCAUACCUACUCUGCCUGAUGGUUCCUGUAUCUGCACCUCUCUCUGGUCUCCCUCACUCAGAUUAGUUUUUCAAUGCUCAGCUCUGCUCUGUCACUUCCUGGACUACAAAAUUGGAGGGGAGAGUCCCUCCCCCAUUGUCUGAGGACUGAAGCCCCAACUGUCAUGCCUUCAAGGCAUACUGCCCCAAGACCAAGACCCGGCCACUGUGCAACCACUCCCCAACCCUGGAUAUGUUCUCCAUGCUCCAUUUGUUCAAUGUGCAAAUGUUUUUUGAACCCUUACUAUGUGCCAGGAGUUAUGUUGGGCACCCAGAAAUUAACUGAUGCACAAGUCCCAGAAACCAAGUGUGUUUCGAGAGCUCAAGGGUUUGGGGGCUCUGAGAAGGGGCGCGGAAUUGAGAGAGGGCCUGGGCUGCGGCCAGCUCUCUUCUUGCUGGUUUCCUGUUUACUAUUAACAGCUGCCCAUCCCGCCUAACACACAAACGCCCAAGUGAACCUUGGUAUGUUUUCAGACCAGCAGCUCAAUCACAAACAUGAAGCAGGCUACUCGAAAUUUGCCUGGCUGCCUUGAAAAUCUGCAGAGAGACCCCCUUUAAUCCCUCCCUUUCUUGCACUCCCCAACUUUCUGCCUUUCUCGCCUCUCCUUGGAGGACAUAUGGCCCCUUGAAGUUUUUGUUUGCUUGAAGGGAGGGGAAUAAACCCCAAAUACCCAGCUUCGAUGUGGAAGUU
This is a long non-coding RNA of Bos indicus x Bos taurus (hybrid cattle), 5011 nucleotides long. The record is from Ensembl. Lineage: Eukaryota; Metazoa; Chordata; Mammalia; Artiodactyla; Bovidae.